GCUUAUAUGCCUAGUGGACAUGGAAUCUGCCCGGUAAGCGGAACACUGUGGGUUCGAUUCCCAUCCCUGGUCCC
This 74-nucleotide transfer RNA is filed under the name Cordylochernes scorpioides. RNAcentral describes it as "tRNA-Thr". The record is from RNAcentral. Lineage: Eukaryota; Metazoa; Arthropoda; Arachnida; Pseudoscorpiones; Chernetidae.